Drosophila miranda is the source of this 1665-nucleotide long non-coding RNA. RefSeq lists it as uncharacterized. NCBI's taxonomy places the organism in Eukaryota, Metazoa, Arthropoda, Insecta, Diptera, Drosophilidae. The record is from RefSeq and is a predicted model, not a curated record. The transcript has 4 exons.
GGUCCCGGGUGUUAGGACGUGGCGGAUCGACUAAAAAACGCAACGAAAACAACGAUUUUUUUAAACAAAAAAUGUGAAAUGAGUUUGCAAUGUUGUGCGGAAACAUAGAGGUCAUAAAUGGCAUAUGCUUCGUCGGACUGCAUAUGAAAAAGUGUUGAGUUUGAGAGAAUCCUGUGGGUCAAGACGGUAUCCAUGUGUUUCUGGCGUGUUUUCCGUAGUUCAUAAAGGGGAUUACUUACUACCUAGCCAGAGAAUCGAAUCUAUAUAAUAUCCUGUGAUGCACGGAACUAUCCUCUGAUUGAUGUUCACAGAGUUCCUCAAACAGAGUUCCCCUCAAUUACGGAAAUGUUUUCCAUUUAGGGUGCAUUAAAAAUUCCAAACGCGUUUGCACAUUAGCACUCCCAUUGGACAGAUAUGACUUCAUUUUCAGGUCAUACACGCCAUAUGCAGCAUGAGUCUUGCCACAGAUGUCAGUGCUGUACUUGCAGUUGCACCCGUUCCUUCUUCAUUCCCGGGGCUGGUCCACAUGAUUUACUACAAGCAGAUGAUUUAAUGUAACCGCAUAUGCAUACGAGCAUGCACACACACGCAAACGUGCGAUAUGUACAUACAUGGGGCAGGCCACUUCAGAUGCAUUCUCCUCGAUACCAGAACAGAACAUACCAGCCCAGACACCCCACACAUGUUUCAAUUGAAGCGUCAGUUGAAAGAAAAACCGGGACGACAGCGACGGUGACCUCCAUCUUGAAAACUGAUGCCCUGAUGAAGCGGUUCCAAAGUUGAGGAUAAUAUUUAAAAUUCAGAACAGCGAGACAUUUGGGAGUUCAGUCUGUAUUUGUUUAACAGUGCGUAAAUCAUGGCGUCAACGAGCUGCGACCUUGCCAAGAGCCCAUCUAGAUUCUGGCCAAAUCCGACGUCAAAACAAAUCGUUAAAAUGCAAUAAAACUCUCAGAGAAGGAGGAGGAGUCCACAUCCAUAUGCAAUCGCUAAACAAGAGCCAAGGCAAAUGCAUUCAAAUAAAAUUUUACCACCAUUUCCUCGAGCAUCAUCAGCAGGAGCAUCAUCAAACUAACGGCGGCAACAUCCGAGGCACCUCAUAAAAGUAAUGACGUCUAUGGGCCAUCAGCAUCUGAUAGAUACAUUUGUAUCUACGCACGGUGGCGAGGAGCGAAGGGGAUAUCACAAUAAUUAUGGCAUACGUCACGGAACUUGGGUUUUUAUAUCUUUUAUAUUGAUUGUCAUCGUGUCACACUAACAGAUCGUAAAAAAGUCGUAAAACCCGGAGACUCUCGCUCCUGCUCUGACUAUGUUCGGGCCGGGCCGUUGGCCGGGCGAGCGAGUGAGUGCGUUGCCAGCGUGAGCGAUGAAGUCCUCAUCCCUUGGGAUGUAUGCACUCAGGAUCGGGCAGGACCUCAGGCCGACUCCAGCUCUCGCAGAAGCAAUGGAUGCUGGGCUGGAUCGUUACCGCUCUGAGUGAGUUUCUCUGGUGCUCAAGCAAAGUGGCGUCAAGUCAUAAAAAGGCCAUCAAAUUUGGCCUCUGUUUGGUAUUAACCGCAAUUUGUUUAUAUAGUUGUUAAAAUGCCGUUCCAUCUUGUUCUGCUUAGCAUUUAAUUGUCGAAUGCCGGCUUUUCUUUUUACGAGCCAAUAAAAUUUAUUUAACGACAA